ACGGGUGAGUAAUGCCUAGGAAUCUGCCUGGUAGUGGGGGGCAACGUUUCGAAAGGAACGCUAAUACCGCAUACGUCCUACGGGAGAAAGCAGGGGACCUUCGGGCCUUGCGCUAUCAGAUGAGCCUAGGUCGGAUUAGCUAGUUGGUGAGGUAAUGGCUCACCAAGGCGACGAUCCGUAACUGGUCUGAGAGGAUGAUCAGUCACACUGGAACUGAGACACGGUCCAGACUCCUACGGGAGGCAGCAGUGGGGAAUAUUGGACAAUGGGCGAAAGCCUGAUCCAGCCAUGCCGCGUGUGUGAAGAAGGUCUUCGGAUUGUAAAGCACUUUAAGUUGGGAGGAAGGGUUGUAGAUUAAUACUCUGCAAUUUUGACGUUACCGACAGAAUAAGCACCGGCUAACUCUGUGCCAGCAGCCGCGGUAAUACAGAGGGUGCAAGCGUUAAUCGGAAUUACUGGGCGUAAAGCGCGCGUAGGUGGUUCGUUAAGUUGGAUGUGAAAUCCCCGGGCUCAACCUGGGAACUGCAUUCAAAACUGUCGAGCUAGAGUAUGGUAGAGGGUGGUGGAAUUUCCUGUGUAGCGGUG
RNAcentral lists this ribosomal RNA (585 nucleotides) under Pseudomonas sp. StFRB035. RNAcentral describes it as "bacterial SSU rRNA". It matches the Rfam family "Bacterial small subunit ribosomal RNA", at positions 102 to 683 of the family's 1533-position model. RNAcentral also lists the same sequence under 2 other names. The record is from RNAcentral. Lineage: Bacteria; Pseudomonadati; Pseudomonadota; Gammaproteobacteria; Pseudomonadales; Pseudomonadaceae.